UACGGGGGGGGUAAGCGUUGUUCGGAAUUACUGGGCGUAAAGGGCUCGUAGGCGGCCAACUAAGUCAUACGUGAAAUCCCUCAGCUUAACUGGGGAACUGCGUGCGAUACUGGAUGGCUUGGAUGUGGGAGAGGGAUGCGGAAUUCCAGGUGUAGCGGUGAAAUGCGUAGAUAUCUGGAGGAACACCGGUGGCGAAGGCAGCCCCUUGGACCUGUACUGACGCUCAUGCACGAAAGCGUGGGGAGCAAACAGG
RNAcentral lists this ribosomal RNA (253 nucleotides) under uncultured bacterium. Its description in RNAcentral is "partial 16S ribosomal RNA". It matches the Rfam family "Bacterial small subunit ribosomal RNA", at positions 524 to 776 of the family's 1533-position model. The record is from RNAcentral.